This is a non-coding RNA of Triticum aestivum (bread wheat), 135 nucleotides long. The record is from Rfam. NCBI's taxonomy places the organism in Eukaryota, Viridiplantae, Streptophyta, Magnoliopsida, Poales, Poaceae.
UAUGUACUCCCUCCGUUCCGAAUUACUUGUCUUAGAUUUGUCUACAUAUGGAGGUAUCUAGCACUAAAAUGAGUCUAGAUACAUCCGUAUCUAAACAAAUCCAAGACAAGUAAUUCGGAACGGAGGGAGUAUGUG